RNAcentral lists this long non-coding RNA (344 nucleotides) under Fukomys damarensis (Damara mole-rat). RNAcentral describes it as "lncRNA (ENSFDAG00000024156.1)". The record is from RNAcentral. Lineage: Eukaryota; Metazoa; Chordata; Mammalia; Rodentia; Bathyergidae.
UUUUUAAAACUUUCCAAGAUAAAGUCACUGCAUUUCUUCUCUCUGAUUUAGACUUUUUGAGUUGGACUGCACAUUAUGUGAAAGCGGGAUCAAAUGCUUCUGAAGGUGUUCAAGGUGCAAAAAUCUCCACACCCUCCCCACCUCCGCCCAAAUGUAAGUCUGCAAUGCAAUCCUGGGGAACAGCCAGAACACUCAGUAAAUUUUCAGUGCGGAAAGAGACAAGCCAACAUGUAUCAUUCAAUGAACAAUUAUGUUCAUUUAGGAAAUAGCUGAUGAACUUACUUUUGACUACACUUUAUUUUAAAAUGUGAACAUAUUUAUUUUUUAUUGAGGUAAAAUGUUUG